This 400-nucleotide long non-coding RNA is filed under the name Physcomitrium patens. RNAcentral describes it as "long non-coding RNA (PPAT_LNC005747)". Lineage: Eukaryota; Viridiplantae; Streptophyta; Bryopsida; Funariales; Funariaceae. The record is from RNAcentral.
CAAAACUCUAAUUCUAAUAGAAUAUUAAUAAUGCUCUAAUUAGACUAUAAUAAUUUUAAGCAAGCUUAAUCAGGUUCAAAAAAAACUUCAAAGAAAUUUCUAACAAAUAAUAAGAAUUCUUAAAGAAAUAUUAAAAGAAUCACAAUUAUCACUCAAAUACAUCUCAACUCAAUCUUAAUUUAAUUCUAGUUAAAAUCCUAUUGAACUUCAUUCAAACUUCAGGCCAAAUCUAAUUAAAUCUUAAAUCCUAAUAAAAUCCUAAAUCCUAAAUCAAAUCCUAAACAAAUCUUAAAUCAAAUCCCAACCAAAUCCUAAAUCAAAUCCUAAAUCAAAUCCUAACCAAACCCUAAUAUAAACCCUAAAUCCUAAACCAAAUCCUAAACCCUAAAUAAAAUCCUAA